Non-coding RNA from Ictalurus furcatus (blue catfish), 83 nucleotides. NCBI's taxonomy places the organism in Eukaryota, Metazoa, Chordata, Actinopteri, Siluriformes, Ictaluridae. The record is from the annotation of a RefSeq genome assembly.
ACCAGGAUGGCCGAGUGGUUAAGGCGUUGGAUUCAAGAUCCAAUGGACAAAAGUCCUCGUGGGUUCAAACCCCACUCCUGGUA